GGAUUGGUGGUAUCGUGGUGAACAUAGCUGCCUUCCAAGCAGCUGACCUGGGUUUGAUUCCCAACCAACACA
This is a transfer RNA of Ovis aries (sheep), 72 nucleotides long. It matches the Rfam family "tRNA". Rfam says of the family: Transfer RNA (tRNA) molecules are approximately 80 nucleotides in length. Their secondary structure includes four short double-helical elements and three loops (D, anti-codon, and T loops). The record is from Rfam. NCBI's taxonomy places the organism in Eukaryota, Metazoa, Chordata, Mammalia, Artiodactyla, Bovidae.